GAAAUUCCAGUGGUAGACAACACAUUCGAUCAAAAGGUUAGAUACGUUGGGUACACUUCAAGGUUGUUGAGUAAAUGUUUAACGGAACAUAAGAAAGAUAUUGAAAGAGGAGCAUCGAUGACAACACUAGCGCAAAGGGCCUUGUCAUUGGAUGUCACUAUCAACUGGAAUCAAUCAAAGCUUUUGUACGAACAACACGACCUGAGAAGAGGUAGAAUUGAGGAAGCUUUAACAAUCUACAUGAAUAGAUCGGCAGAAAUUAAGCCGAUUAAUAAACUUGACCCGACAACCAUUAGUGCUGCAUGGCGAUCUUGCACUACGAGAUAGAC
RNAcentral lists this long non-coding RNA (329 nucleotides) under Androctonus crassicauda. The record is from RNAcentral. Lineage: Eukaryota; Metazoa; Arthropoda; Arachnida; Scorpiones; Buthidae.